This is a long non-coding RNA of Andrographis paniculata, 1046 nucleotides long. RefSeq lists it as uncharacterized. NCBI's taxonomy places the organism in Eukaryota, Viridiplantae, Streptophyta, Magnoliopsida, Lamiales, Acanthaceae. The record is from RefSeq and is a predicted model, not a curated record. The transcript is spliced from 3 exons.
ACUUUACUAAAGCCUUCCAUCUCUCGCAUCUUCUCAGUCGGUCAUAGAAGUCUCACAACCAAGCCAUAUAUCUUAAAUCCUUCUUUUUUCUUUCCUUUAUUGCCAAAGAGUGCGGUUUGUUGUGGGAACAAGUUUUUCCUUUCCUUUAUUGCCAAAGAGUGCGGUUUGUUGUGGGAACAAGCACCGGACGAGUAAGGGGAAGUGUGUGGUGUAUGAUACUUCAAACCUAGAUAAUCAACCAAUAAAAAACUCUCAAAGCUCCGUUAGAAGUUCAGAUUCUAAACGCACUCAGAAAGAUAUUUUAAGACAGCAACUCCGAGUUAGAUCGUCGUGGGCACUGCUUGUGGAGCUUGAACGACGACUUUUUAGGUCACUAAUAUCCCACUAAACUCCUAGAUAAGCCAGGCAUCUCGUGGUGAUCCCACGCAAAGCAACCUUGGUACUCCCAAAUCAAGCCGUAAUCGUUAUUUCUGUUCCAGAGGUAACAAUGAGCUGAUCUACAUCAUUUGAAAGUAGUAACAAACUGAUCUGCAUCAUUGGAGGGGCUGAAUCGUCACCAAGAUUGAUAUCUUCGACAGGAUCCUAAGCCUCGAUCAAUGGGGUAGCCUUCUGGAUAGGCGAUGAAAGUUCUGUUUCGUUCUGAUCCUCCGGGGAAGGCGGCAGAUGUGAAGAAUUUGUCUGCUUCUCAAAUAUACUUCAUAUUUUGGUCCUUCGAUGUCACUAUAUGUCUCAUUAAUCCACCACUUCAGGUUCCGUAUCAUUCUCGAUCCUUAUUCAUCACGAAAAAAUAGGAAAAAAAACUGUGUGUUUGUCUAUAUGUGGAUUUUGAAUUCUUUAAUAGCGAGAUUGCAUUCCGUCAAAAUUUCUAGAACUUGUUUUGCAAGAAGACGCUAAUAUUUACCGGAAAAUCAUUUUUGUAAUAUAGCGCUCGCUUCAAAUCCCGGUUGAAAUAGACGUUAGUAGUACCUUCAGAGGUGUUUGUUGCUCUAAAUUGUCUGUCUUCUGAGACAACCUGUUUUGGCCUUCAUUCUCGUCGUCUUCUCCUC